GUGUCAGCCGCCGCGGUAAUACAGAGGUCCCGAGCGUUGUUCGGAUUCACUGGGCGUAAAGGGUGCGUAGGUGGUGGGGUAAGUCGGAUGUGAAAUCUCGGAGCUCAACUCCGAAAUGGCAUUGGAAACUACCCUGCUGGAGGUUUGGAGGGGGGACUGGAAUACUUGGUGUAGCAGUGAAAUGCGUAGAUAUCAAGUGGAACACCAGUGGCGAAGGCGAGUCCCUGGACAAAACCUGACACUGAGGCACGAAAGCUAGGGGAGCAAACAGGAUUAGAUACCCUGGUAGUCC
Molecule: ribosomal RNA, 292 nt
Filed under: uncultured bacterium
Lineage: Bacteria
Description: partial 16S ribosomal RNA
Rfam family: Bacterial small subunit ribosomal RNA
Source: RNAcentral